This is a long non-coding RNA of Carassius auratus (goldfish), 1730 nucleotides long. Lineage: Eukaryota; Metazoa; Chordata; Actinopteri; Cypriniformes; Cyprinidae. The record is from Ensembl.
UGCAGGCCUGUGAUAGGUUUGCUGUGGUGAUUGAUGCUGUGCUGGUGUGCGUGUGAGAAGUGUCAGUCUUGGGUUUCACUGGGGGUUGUCAAGUGUUGUUGUCAAGGUUAUAGGCAGCCAGUCUAGUAUAGAGGAAAUGAAAUCAUAUGUAAGUGGUGCAGUGGAGCAGACACCCAACUGAAUGCUGGAUCUGCUUUGGUCAAUAAGGAGCAGCUGUGGCCUGAUGAACAUGAGCCUGUGUUUUGGUGGUUACCCAGGGUGAAGUUAAUGCAUGCUCAAAGGACUGCCUCAUGGUCUCUUAAGAUUCAAUCACAGUUGGGCCGUUUAGUUUUUAAGAGCUCCCUGACAGAGGUUAACCGGCUAUAUCAUCAACUGAGCCUGUCCUCACCGACACUUCAAAGCUCCUCUGCUACGCUGCAGCUCCCCGGCCUCAGGCACAACAGGGCUUUUUUAUUGGUGAGAAGCCUGUCAAAUUGUUCUGACAGAGGAGGACAAAAGACUGACUGUGGAUUUGUGCUGAAACGGAUGUAACGCUGGCACAAAGAUGGUCAGGACAUCCAAAAUGCAUUUUGAACAAUUUAUUUGUCUAAUAAGACUCGAUCCACUAGCUCUGCAUGCCAUAUUCAUAACCCUGUGAAUAUCUGUUACAGCUGAUACCUUGCAUAUAAACCUCCCGGUGUCGAGUUCUUGUCUGAACAUGCAUGACUGAGCUGGGAGGUGGUAAAUUAGGUGAGUUGGGGGUCUGUUUGGUGCCUGGGGUCAACUCAGGGCACCGUUACAGGUGGUUGUGGUUGAACGGAGAACAUUACUGAAAUGCUUCACAUCCCUGCCUUAUCCUGUCUCCACAAUCUGUGAGUGACAGCAGAAAGGCUCUACUUACGACUGGCUAGGCUGCCCCUUUUCCUCUGUCUGUCUGUCUUAUUCUUUCACACAUACAGAUACAGGCAUUGCAGUUCACUCCUCUAUGUGGGUGUAUUCAGUUUCCUGAUUUUGAUGCAGUUUUUCACUGUCUUCAAAACCACAGAUGUUUGGUUUACAUUCCUCUGUCGAAGAACAGCAUACUGCAUACUGCGUUGCUAUUUUCUCUCACUUUUUUUUUUUUUUUUUGCCAAAAGCCGUCCCACAUUAGGAAAGUGUAACAAAUAGUUUUUCACAGCUGUAGGGCUUCAAAGGAGUGGAAAAGAUAGAUCUUUCAGAGAUAAACCAUUGAGAAACAUUCUUUAAACGUUCAUCUGAGAUCUGUUUUAAAAUGGAGGCCAUUUACAUUUUUUUUUAAAUAGCACAGUUGGCUGCCAUUUACGGCAAAUGAGAACUAUUUUUGAAUUGUCUACGCAAAUCCUCUAAUCAGCAUAAACAUUACAGAUAAGUAAAAAAAAAAAUUGGCAAGAAAGUUGAAACCAUACAAAUGUCACCUUUCCACAUAGUUUGUCUUAAAACUGAGAGGCUUAAAGUUUAGUGAAUCUCAUCUCCUGUUAAUAUUUCACCAUGAAAAAAGUUUUAAUUAGCUUAUUUCUUUCAUUAUAACAAUUUUAUGACAAUUAAGCAGAUUUUUACACAAACAUAUUACAUUACGUGUUUAUACAUUGUGCACACUGUGUAAUAAAUACAUAUAUAAACUAAAAGCUAAAUAAUAAUAAAAAUAAUAAAAAAUAUUUUAGGAAGUUGUUGUGAUUUGUUUUUGUAAUACCCAUAAUUCUCAGUGGCAUUAGCAUGGAAGCCUGUUCCGCCAC